AUGAUUAAUAUUUAGACAAGUAAAUAUCAAAUAUCAAAACAAAGUCAAAAUUGCCAAUACAUCAAUAAUAUAAUACAAAGCCAUAUAUGUCUUUAACUUGGUCCACUCUAGAAGCUCUUAAAACAUUUUGCAAUAUAAAAUUUUGAGAGUGCAGUAGCCACAAUGUACGGAGAGUUGCAACUUGAAAGUACACUUGUACGAUGAUGAUUGAUAAGCAAUACCUGAAACCAAGAUCCUCAGCA
RNAcentral lists this unclassified non-coding RNA (242 nucleotides) under Hevea brasiliensis (rubber tree). Lineage: Eukaryota; Viridiplantae; Streptophyta; Magnoliopsida; Malpighiales; Euphorbiaceae. The record is from RNAcentral.